CCUACGGGAGGCAGCAGUAGGGAAUCUUCCACAAUGGGCGAAAGCCUGAUGGAGCAACGCCGCGUGGGUGAAGAAGGUCUUCGGAUCGUAAAACUCUGUUGUUAGAGAAGAAAGUGCGUGAGAGUAACUGUUCACGUUUCGACGGUAUCUAACCUGAAAGCCACGGCUAACUACGUGCCAGCAGCCGCGGUAAUACGUAGGUGGAAAGCGUUAUCCGGAUUUAUUGGGCGUAAAGGGAACGCAGGCGGUCUUUUAAGUCUGAUGUGAAAGCCUUCGGCUUAACCGGGGUAGUGCAUUGGAAACUGGGAGACUUGAGAGCAGAAGAGGAGAGUGGAACUCCAGGUGUAGCGGUGAAAUGCGUAGAUAUAUGGAAGAACACCAGUGGCGAAAGCGGCUCUCUGGUCUGUAACUGACGCUGAGGUUCGAAAGCGUGGGUAGCAAACAGGAUUAGAUACCCUAGUAGUC
Molecule: ribosomal RNA, 465 nt
Filed under: uncultured bacterium
Lineage: Bacteria
Description: partial 16S ribosomal RNA
Rfam family: Bacterial small subunit ribosomal RNA
Source: RNAcentral